Molecule: ribosomal RNA, 404 nt
Filed under: uncultured bacterium
Lineage: Bacteria
Description: bacterial SSU rRNA
Rfam family: Bacterial small subunit ribosomal RNA
Source: RNAcentral
GGGGGAAUCUUGGACAAUGGGGGGAACCCUGAUCCAGCGACGCCGCGUGGAGGACGAAGGUCUUCGGAUCGUAAACUCCUUUUGACGGGGAAGAUGAUGACGGUACCCGUCGAAUAAGCCCCGGCUAACUACGUGCCAGCAGCCGCGGUAAUACGUAGGGGGCGAGCGUUGUCCGGAUUUACUGGGCGUAAAGAGCGCGUAGGCGGCUCGUUAAGUCGACCGUGAAAGGUCUCGGCUCAACCGGGAUAAGUCGGGCGAAACUGGCGGGCUUGAGGGCGGUAGAGGAAGGUGGAAUUCCGGGUGUAGUGGUGAAAUGCGUAGAUAUCCGGAGGAACACCGGUGGCGAAGGCGGCCUUCUGGGCCGUACCUGACGCUGAGGCGCGAAAGCGUGGGGAGCGAACUGA